GCUGGGCACAGUGGUGUAUGCCUGUAAUCCCAGCAACCCAGGAAGCUGAGGCAGGAGGAUCACAAGUUGGAGGCCAGCUUGGGAAACUUAGUGAGAUCCUGUCUCAA
RNAcentral lists this small RNA (107 nucleotides) under Marmota monax (woodchuck). Lineage: Eukaryota; Metazoa; Chordata; Mammalia; Rodentia; Sciuridae. The record is from RNAcentral.